Molecule: long non-coding RNA, 5261 nt
Organism: Musa acuminata AAA Group (dessert banana)
Lineage: Eukaryota; Viridiplantae; Streptophyta; Magnoliopsida; Zingiberales; Musaceae
Exons: 4
Source: RefSeq, a predicted model, not a curated record
ACCGAAAAAAAAAAAAAAAAAAGAGUUCGAUCAAAUACUUUAUUUUUAUCCUUUAUUUGAUAUUAAAAGUAUAUUGAUUUUUCCUUAUAAUUAAAUAGUUUUUAUAAAUAUUAUAUAUUUGAUUCCAUCUAUAAAUCUAAUUUCUUUCGUAUGAGUAUUUUGUAGCUCGGAUCGGGCUCGGGUUUAUGCACGAGUUGACCCAACCCGCCCGAGUUAGCACAGCGGUAACUCCCAACAAGCCUUCGUACCUUCUCCGGUGUCACAAUUAGGAACCGCACUGAUGCGUCUCCUUCCUCCUCCGGUCCCCAUCUCCCCGGGCCAAUGGCAGCAUCCGGUCUACGCCUACCCCGACCCCCUCCCUCAAUUCGCCACAGCCGAGACGCGGAAAUUCGAGGGCGAGUUCCGGAAGACGCUUGCCAAGAGUAAGGAGAUAGUCGGCGACGACGUCGACGCCGUCUUUAAUUUUGUGCAUUUGGCUACGAGGGCAUUGGUUGGUCGAUCUCCUUGUUAUCAAGGUACGAUAGCUCGUAACAAUUUCUCGUCUGUUGAUUGGCUGGUUAAGAGUACUGAUCCAACCUGGGGAAUUGAAAUCGAAAAUGAUAGCAAGGUUGGGUUCGCAAUUCUUUCGAUCAAGAAAAGGUUUGUUUAGAUGAACUGUGACAACUUGAAAUGUUAUAAAUUAGUUAAAAAUCAGUUCUUUUUACUCCGUUAAAUAUGUUUACCAUAUUGGUAAGGAUUUGAUGCUCAAUGGACUCAUUAAUUGUUGUUCCAACUUCCAACUUAUGUUAUAUCCAUCGAAAAUAGUAGGAUCAUAGAUUGUAACAAGCUUUUCUUUAUCUUCGUUUAUAACUUUGGCUGCUCUCCAUGCUAAUCAUCCAUGUUUAGGAUCAAGACAUGGUAAUCUCCAUGCUAACCUAUUCCUUUUUCUUAUUCUUCUAAAUUUUCAGAAACGUUAUAGUGGAACUAUAAGGAGCAUAUGGUGUGAAGCUAAAUUAUCAUGAAAAGGGUUUGAAUCAUUUUAUGUCCUUAAUAAGAUUUAGAUGCUCAUUAUUCAUUCUUUAUCUAGUACACAACUGAUAUGUCCUUGCCUUUGCAAUAUAAGAUUGUUUAAGGAGAUACCAAAUCUACCUCAUUAUCAAACUUAUAACAAUGUUUUUAUGGUGCAUUGUAAUCUAGAUAUUCAACAACUUAUGUCACAAGGAGUACAGUGGUCCUGGGACACUGUUGGUGGGAAAUGUUCCUUCAACUAAAGGAGAAGAGACUUCCCGGAGCUCCUAUAGCAGCAAGUGUGGCUCUUCUGUGGGCACAAAGCUAUGUAGGCCAGGGCAGGGAGAUCUAGACUUCCCAACAGUCUCAGUGACCAUUGUUCAUUCAUAUAAUUUAUUAGGUCUUCUGACAACAGAGUGAUAGCUUCACUGUAAAAUAUGACUAGUUUCAGGUUAUAUAUAGAGUAAAUGUACGUAGAUGUUUUCUAAGAUGUUUCACUUGCUCUCCUGUCUUUUUUACUCAUGUGACUGUUUGCUUCAAAUUCAACUAAAUUGAAAUCCUGAAUCAGCAAGGAAAGCUAGUGUCAUUAACUUUGCAAUUUCUUGUUCCAUAAGCUCUAGAUCAUGAUGAUAUGUAUCUUUGUUUCUGACUCUUGUUGAUUACACGAUGGACUGUUAUUCAAAUGUAUACUUCCUCUACAAGGAGACUCUUUUAAGUUUUUCCUUAUGGUAGUACCCUCAAUUUUUCAUGAUUUGCAUCCAUAACCAAUAUCACACUAACCACAUGAACCUCAUCUCAUGCCUGAGAUGACUUGUCUUUUUGUUGUGACAACAGGGUAAGAGAAUUGCACAAUUAGCUUCCCAUCUCUGAGAUGCUCUGAAGCGAAGGACGCCAUUGCCUGCCUCUCACUGCCAUCUGUGUGCUGCUUUUUUGUCUAUCACUCCCCUGCUUUGUUGCCUGUAUCAUCUCAUAAACACACAGCAGUGAGAACACAUCCAAACAGCUGACUGACAGUAAAAGUCCCUUAAAUCUCCUGCGUUUUAUUCAGAUUAUUAUGAAGUGACUUUAUAGCAUUCUUACAAUUGUCAAACAGCAGGUAGUAAAUGGGUGACUUGGGUUUUAGUUGUUCAGGUGACUGUAGAACUUUGUGUGGUAUUUUUCUGUUCAAUAUAUUAUUACAAAAAAUGCUGUUUGACUGACAGUAAAAUCCAUAGCAGUUCAUGUAGUAUGAUGUUCAUGGAUCGCUAGCCAUUUGAAGGAUGACUUGCAGCAAAUACAGUAGAAUGUACCUGAUGUCUACUUCUUGUAUCCUCCAGAAAUGUCCACGAAAAGCUCGACGUUAGCCAGCAUCAGAAAAUCUAAACAAAGUGAUCAGGAAUUACUAGUCUGAGAUGGACUUGCAGAAGGAAGAACAGAUUCGGACCCUGGGAGGUGAUCAGCCGGUAGACUUGGCCGAGCAAGAGCAUAUCCUUGGGCUUGAGCAGCUUUACGCGGGUAAACCGGACGCUGCUGCCAUCCUUCUUCUCCUCGGAGACGUAGAGGCUGACAAGGGCAACAUGGUAGCCUGGGUUGGUCUUCAUGACGUCGGCAGCACUCGUCGGCCAGUACAGCCUCUCCACCCUCCCCCCAGGGUGUUGGAUCACCACGGUCGCCACCUCCGAUGCCUGGCAGUUUCCCAUCCUCCUCUCCUUACCUAUUUUCUUUCUCUGAUACUGUUUGGUGUAUGAUGACUAAUAUAUAUACAGCAGUGGGAGAGGGAAGGAGUGUCGAAGAGAAGAAAGCAGCAUUCAACCAACUGCAGCUGCUGCCAUUUUGCGUUUGGCCUUAUUUAACGUGAUGGAAGGGAGGUAAGGCUCUCAAACACUGAUAUUAUACCAUAAUGUAUCCUGCACUUGGUGUGUUAAUAUAUUGCAGGGAUAGAGAUAGAGAGAGGGGGCCAAUGGGAGCACACUUCCUCGGUUGAUGGGCUAUCUUCCACGUGGCAUGAUGUCGAUGAGUGGUGGGUUGGGAAAUAGCAUAUGGCAGGCGUGGUCUACGUUGCAGGCCAUGGAUGUGGAUGAGGGAGACGUCAUCAUCUAUUGCAUGCAGCAGCUGCUGCAACACCAACACCACCAAGGAGCCUGAGAUUCUUCAUGUCAUGAGCGUGGUCCGGGGGAUGUGAAGGGCCACAUUACCAACAAGAAGGUAAGACGCUGAAUCACUGAUAGAGAAGUAACCUCUCGUUGCUUUGUUCAUCUCACCAGCUCAUAUGGAGUGAGUGAGACCUGGGGAACCAAAGCUACCACCUUUCUGCGAUGGUUGCUCAUUGCUACCUGAAGAUGGCUUAUCUUUUUGGUGCUGGCUCAGAGAGUCAGGUAACGGUCAGCAGCAGUUGCUGCCGUCUCUGUGUUUCACUAAUAUAGUAUUGCUUAAAGAUGUGGUUUUCAGUUCAUGAAGCUUUCAUUCUGAUGCUGUUGAAGAAAAUGUUCCAAGGUAACCCACCUUGUUUUGUGUGUGCAUUGCAUCUGCUUUAGGUGAUUGUGGCAUGAAAUCAGUGAUCAUAGUCAAUGUCCAAAAGUAGGGUCUAUUGAUUACUGCACCGCUUGCACCUGGAUUUCAUUAGUGUAUCCAAAGCAUCUUCAUUUGUUUAGUCGCCAUAGUUCUAUACAUAAACAUGCUUCCAUGUUCGUUUCUGAAAUAGUUAGCUUAUGUGCAUCAGACAAAUAACUUUAAACAAGUACUUUGGACGGUCACCAUUAUUAUUAUUAUUAUUAUUAUUAUUAUUAUUAUUAUUCUUUUCAGCACACCCUUCUGCCAUAUAUAUUAAACAGUACCACCACCACCUUAUCUAAGUGCCAUAAAUCUGGUGGUGGUUGUGUGGUGGUAUGUGAAUACUUUAACCCUAUCGUACUGUGUAUCAGAACAGGGACUACUCACCAGACAGUUUGGAUGUUUGCAGGGGAACCCCAUAAGAAGUUAGAAGGUAUGACACUCUUAAAAUACUAGGUUUUUGGACUGAUGCAUACAUGUAAAGAAUGGGUUAUCUAAGUUUCUCUUCCUUCAAAGCAGUCCUCCCCAGUGUCAAGAUCCCCCUUCAUUUGGUCCACAUGCCCACUACGUGCCAUUAAGAGGCCAUGUGGAGUGUCGGAUUUCUCACACAGACCUAUCUCUUCUUAUUCAAACAAAAACCAAGAGGAGAUGAUGACCUAAGGUACCUACCUCUUCUUCUGAAUUCCACUAAUUUAGCUAUCUAGAUAUCAGGAUUAAAAUAUCUUAAGCAUAUGAAAGUUGCUUUGCUGAACUACAAGCAAGCUGGUGAUCUUUCUGGACCCUCCUUUUGUCAUGCAUGUCCUGUUGGCAGAAUACAGUCAGGUGCCAUUUGUCAUCUUUUGAAGAAUAUAAUUCAGACCAUGCUUAGAUACACUUCUGGUUGGCUCCACAUCUUACAUUCAGUACUCAAUCUGAUGCCUUUGGAUCAAGCGACUCAAGUCCCUGAAAACUUCUCACUAGAGGAUAUGGAUUAUCCUUGAAAUGUAGUAUUUCUCAGCACAGUUAUACUACGGUUUGGAAGAGUACAAAGACAUCACCAUUAAAAAUUAGGCAAACUUGGAUUUCCAAUAGGCAAAUAUGAAAUGUUCUCACUACACCAAUAUUAUUUGCUUUCUUAGAUUAAAUGCAACACAAGAACCAACUGUGCCAUGUUUCAGAUAAUGGCUUUUUGUUGAGAUGGACCCUUCAGGCCUUCAUUCUCUGAGACAGUAGUAGCAAUGCCUGUCCACAACCCUCUCCCUUUCUCGUCUCCUUGUCUGGGUUUCUUUGACCGAGACAAGACUCAUGAUUUCGGACAGGACUCAUGAUUUCGGUGCUCCAUAAUGCAUUCAUUUCAGUAAGUAGUGGUACUUUGUGCACUUUGAAGCUCCAUUAUUGCAGGCUUGCAGCUACCACCACAAAGAUUUCCAGUGCAAGAGCUGGACUUUUGGAAUGCAGAAAGCUUUAAAACUUGUUAUCAACUACUUGAAAAGGAAUUAGGUAAAUCUGAAGAACAAAUCAGGUUCUCAGCCUUCAGCUGAAGCUUAAUCAAAGUCAAACCACUUGACAACAUAAUCAACUCCAAAAGAACAGCUAUGGGCCCUGGCACAAAGGUUUGGCAGGAUCUGAUACCCUUGACCCCAUAUUUGUGGACUUGAUCUUGAUAUCACAAUUGAGCUGCUCAAAAGUUUGUUUUGAACUCAAGUUGUGUUAGGUCACAUUGAUGCAACAUAAACUUAAAAAUGCAAUUUUAUGGUCAACAGGAG